RNAcentral lists this transfer RNA (73 nucleotides) under Myxococcales bacterium. Its description in RNAcentral is "tRNA-Glu". It matches the Rfam family "tRNA". From Rfam's summary of the family: Transfer RNA (tRNA) molecules are approximately 80 nucleotides in length. Lineage: Bacteria; Pseudomonadati; Myxococcota; Myxococcia; Myxococcales. The record is from RNAcentral.
GUUCCUGUCGUCCAAUGGAGAAGAUCUCCGGCUUUCACCCGGAAGAUGCAGGGUUCGAUUCCCGCCAGGAACU